This 187-nucleotide ribosomal RNA is filed under the name uncultured Pseudomonadales bacterium. Its description in RNAcentral is "partial 16S ribosomal RNA". It matches the Rfam family "Bacterial small subunit ribosomal RNA", at positions 144 to 334 of the family's 1533-position model. The record is from RNAcentral. Lineage: Bacteria; Pseudomonadati; Pseudomonadota; Gammaproteobacteria; Pseudomonadales.
CAACGUUCGAAAGGAACGCUAAUACCGCAUACGUCCUACGGGAGAAAGCAGGGGACCUUCGGGCCUUGCGCUAUCAGAUGAGCCUAGGUCGGAUUAGCUAGUCGGUGAGGUAAUGGCUCACCAAGGCGACGAUCCGUAACUGGUCUGAGAGGAUGAUCAGUCACACUGGAACUGAGACACGGUCCAG